GAACUCGGAGGCUGGGGGCGGAGCCGGAUGCCUAGGCCACCCCAUUGGCCAGGUGAAGCUUAGAAGAGCCGGAACCCGGGAGCUGGAGAAGCGAAAUGACAUUUCCUCUUUAAAUAGCUGGAGCCGGGGCCCCGUCGAGAAAUGGCCGCGUCGGCAGAUUUGAAUAAGGCCUCCCCAACGCCGAAUGGGAUUCCAUCUUCGGACACAGCCAACGAUGCCAUGGACCCCUUCCAUGCGUGCAGUAUUCUCAAGCAACUCAAAACAAUGUACGAUGAAGGACAGUUGACAGACAUUGUAGUGGAAGUGGAUCACGGGAGAACCUUCUCCUGUCACAGAAACGUCCUGGCUGCGAUCAGCCCUUACUUCAGAUCCAUGUUCACUAGUGGCCUUACAGAAAGUACUCAAAAAGAAGUUCGAAUAGUUGGUGUUGAAGCUGAAUCGAUGGAUUUAGUGUUGAACUAUGCCUACACCUCCAGAGUGGUUCUGACAGAGGCCAACGUUCAAGCCUUGUUCACUGCAGCUAGCAUCUUCCAGAUUCCUUCCAUCCAAGACCAAUGUGCUAAGUAUAUGAUCAGUCAUUUAGACCCACAGAAUUCUAUUGGGGUCUUCAUCUUUGCUGAUCAUUAUGGUCAUCAGGAACUUGGAGAUCGAUCAAAAGAAUACAUUCGUAAAAAGUUUCUGUGUGUCACCAAAGAACAAGAGUUUCUCCAGUUGACAAAAGACCAACUGAUUAGUAUAUUAGACAGUGAUGAUUUAAAUGUAGACCGAGAAGAGCAUGUUUAUGAAAGCAUUGUAAGGUGGUUUGAACAUGAACAGAAUGAAAGAGAAGCGCACCUUCCAGAAAUUUUUGCCAAAUGCAUACGUUUUCCCCUGAUGGAAGAUGCCUUUAUAGAGAAAAUCCCACCUCAGUUUGCACAGGCUAUAGCCAAGAGCUAUGUAGAAAAGGGCCCAUCCAAUACCAAUGGCUGUACACAGAGACUUGGAAUGACUGCAUCCGAAAUGAUCAUAUGUUUUGAUGCUGCCCACAAACACUCAGGAAAGAAGCAAACAGUGCCUUGUCUAGAUAUAGUCACGGGAAGAGUGUUUAAACUAUGCAAACCACCAAAUGAUCUAAGAGAAGUGGGGAUUCUUGUAUCACCAGAUAAUGACAUUUAUAUUGCAGGAGGGUACCGGCCAAGCAGCAGUGAGGUCUCCAUCGACCAUAAGGCAGAAAAUGAUUUCUGGAUGUAUGACCAUUCCACCAAUAGGUGGCUCUCCAAACCCCCCCUGCUGCGAGCCAGAAUAGGCUGCAAACUGGUGUAUUGCUGUGGUAAGAUGUAUGCAAUUGGAGGUCGUGUUUAUGAAGGUGACGGGAGAAACUCCCUAAAAUCCGUAGAGUGCUACGACAGCAGGGAGAAUUGCUGGACCAGCGUUUGCGCAAUGCCUGUUGCAAUGGAGUUUCAUAACGCUGUGGAGUACAAAGAGAAGAUCUAUGUUUUACAGGGAGAAUUUUUCCUCUUCUAUGAGCCUCAAAAAGACUACUGGGGUUUUUUAACCCCCAUGACUGUGCCUAGAAUCCAGGGCUUAGCAGCUGUCUACAAGGACUCUAUCUACUACAUAGCUGGAACCUGUGGAAAUCAUCAACGAAUGUUUACUGUAGAAGCCUAUGAUAUUGAGCUAAAUAAAUGGACUCGGAAGAAGGACUUUCCAUGUGAUGAGUCCAUCAAUCCAUACCUUAAACUGGUACUUUUCCAGAAUAAACUGCAUUUAUUUGUUCGAGCUACUCAAGUGACCGUUGAAGAACAUGUCUUCAGAACCAGCAGGAAAAAUUCCCUUUACCAAUAUGAUGACAUCACUGACCAAUGGAUGAAAGUGUACGAGACCCCAGAUCGCCUCUGGGACCUUGGCCGGCAUUUUGAAUGUGCUGUUGCUAAACUCUACCCUCAGUGUCUUCAGAAAGUACUUUAAUGAGUAGCAGGCCUUAGUGAGCUCACUGGCAUCUUGUGCUUGGAGAACUUAGUCUUUCAAUGAUACAAGAAGUGCUGUCAGUAUUUAAGAAGCUGAGAGAGUUUGUACAUGGCAAUGGGUGCUCUUAAAGAUUACAGUGUAGAGAGGGAUUUCUUUUCAUCCUUGUGAUGUUUUCAUUUCAUUAAGCAAAAGGUAACAAAGUGCAAUUAUCAGCAUUUUUUUUCUGGUAUAUAGUAAUCAUUUUCAUUCUAGAAUUUUGUGAUAAUUCAUCACUGAGAUACCAGAUGAAUCAACAACUAUGCACUCUUAUAAGAGCAGUUAGGGUAUUAUGGUUAGAGACAUCCAAACUAGUUUGUUGUGACUUUUUAUUUUAAAUACGGGUAAAAAUUUGAGGCAAUAUCACUAGGACUUUAGCUGUGACCUCUCCAACACAGAGAAGCACUAACUUAGAUCCUCAUUCUAUAAUAUAUUUGUGUACUGUUUUCAAGUGUACUGAGAUUUAAGUGUGUUUUUAGAGUAGGUUGAUGGAAAACAAAUCCGUCUAAGAAAGAGCUUUUACUCUGCUUGUUUCAUAUUUCCCAUGUAACUUUAAGUUAAGCUAAAGUUUUAAAGUAGCAGUUGUUUUUAUUGUUGUUGUUGUUGUUGUUGAUAACUUUUUCAAGUGCUGACACUGUCUCAUUAUUUACGAAUCCCGAAAAGGGCUUAAAUUCGCAGGUGGCUGGUGCUAGUAUAAGUGAAUUCAUGGGUCUAGCUCUAUGGGUUGAAGUUGUUUGAGCCUGUGCUUACCUUUCAAGUUGGUAUGCUGGUUUUGUGGCAUAGUACUUUACCUGUUGAACUCUUGUGAUUUCACAAGAUUCUCUGCUUAAGUGAUAGCAAGAUCUCUAACUGGACUCAGUUUUAGAAUAGUGAGAACAUGACACUCAGUUUGCACUAACAUGGGCCAUUUUGUUGCCCAACCUCCUUUCCCAUCCUCCACCCAUCCCUUCAUUAUCGGUACAGUGAAAGGUAACUUAUUUCUCUUCUGCACAGAGCAUAAUGUGAAGUUUUCUACUUGCUUUUACGAUUUUGUUUUCCAGAAACCUAAAACUCCUUCAGUUGAUCUAAUUUAAUGGCUUUUACGUUACAUAUGACCAUUAAAACCUCACUUUUUUUUGUUGUUGUUUUCUCAUUUUUGCACUUAGUAAUGUAUAUUUUUACAUUGAAAACCUUGUUCUAGCUGAAAGUAAUUGAGAAGGAAAGGGUGAGUGAGUAUAAUCAUAGCAUUGUAGGUACUAAAUCGCUUUUCCUACUUAACGGAUGGAUUUCUAACAGUCAGUAAUAGUGACAUAAAGGACAAACCAACUCACUUGUAAUACCUAAGGCAGAUAUUUGGAUCAGUAACUUGUUUUUUACUAUGCCUAGAAUAACUGAUAAAGGACAUAAGGAUAGCCCACAGUCUGUCCUCAAGUAGAACAUUUUGAUUCUCUUAAAGAAAACAAACUGGCAUGGUUUGUAUUAAAAACUCUUGCACAAAUUGAAAUGUGAUACUGUGAAACAAAUUUAAAACAUUGCCUCUUUGCAUCACAUACCUCGUUUUUCAGAAACUUUCCAAACUGCUUGUCCUUGACCUCUACAAGUAAGGAAUGUUUUCUGAAGCAGAAUUUAAAGUGGACAGCAUUUAUAGAAUUAACAUUUUAAAAUCUAGUCUUGGGAAGUUGGAUAUGUGGUUUCUUAUUGGCCUUGAUAGUAUGUCAAUAAUCUCUUUAUAAACUUUGUCAACCACCUGUUUUUUUUUUUUCUCUUUAGUUUUUCUUUACUUACAUGCUGUUUUGGGGCUUUUGCUGUGAGUGUUUUGAAGCAUCUUUCCAGUGUUGCAUUGCGGAGGGGAGGAGAAGACAAAACUAACUUUUGCAAGAGAUGUUCAUGUAAUUUAUUUUUGAAAGCUGUGUUGAAUAUCUGAGAUUUCCUGCCACUUUUUGACAAUCUUCUGUAUUUAUUUAGAAAAAUGUGUUACUUGAAAACAUGACAUAGAACAGUGAGUUAACAAUUUACAUGUGCCGUGUGAUAUAUAGGAGUACAAUAUACUGUGGUUAAUUCUGCAGAUUUAUUCUGUUCAUCUGCACAACAGUUGAUCCUUUGCUAUAACUAUUUAUACUGGGGGUGUGAUCCAAGUAUAGUGUGUCAAAGCCAAGGUUUAGAAUUUGCUAUGGGAGUAGAAUAUAUAUUGAAUUUUGUAUGAAGAACUAUUUGUUUAAAUUAUAUAACUGGGAUAUUUUGCCACUUUUAAAAUGAUUUCAGAAGAGGUCCUAGAGAGCUAAGAUUAGUAAUUUGUGUGGGUAUAUAUGUUUAGAUAUUUAAGGUACAUUUGCAUAGUAUAAUGGGAAUAUAAGUAAAAGGCACAAUGGGGACUACAGAAGUAAAAUAUAGGCUAACAUAUGCCAGUCCCACUUGAACUUUGUUUUUGCAUUUGAAGAAUGUAUGUAGCACUUUCCUAUAUAUUUUUUACAUAUUGAAAACUGGACUUGGUAUAACUAUGUUAUAGGAAAGUAGAAACUGUAUUCUUUAUUUUCCAUCUUUGUUUUCUGUUAUCCUACAAAGUUGAUGCUUAAGCAUCUGGCUGAUUUCUCUGGUGCAUGAGGAGAAGUGGGUGUGCUCUGCAAGGAAUCAGAUUCCCUAUGUGAAGCAGUUUCAAAUGGCAUUCAAUGUUCAGUGCUCAGCAUGUCAUAAUUAUUCACUGAAAGUCAGACAAGAUGAAUCAAGUAUGAAGAAGAUAAAUAGAACCUUAGGGUUAUCUUUUUGGAUCCGACUCCCGGUACUGCAGCCAUCUGUCACUGCCUCUGUUUUUACUACUGAAGCAACAAACACACGGAAGGGGAAUUGUUAAACCUGUGGGAUCCCACGGAGCUCGACGGGGGAAGUGGACACAUCACAUGCUCCCCAGUCCCCAGGGAGUGGGGACCCAGGAAGGUGGCCCACACGGUCACGUUCAAAACCAGCAUGCCGGAGGUGUUAGGACUGCAGCCGGCUGGAAGGGAAGCCGGCGUGGGAUGCGAAAAGGGGAAAAGGAUUUGGUUUGUCAUUUUUUUCAGCAUUGAAAGGAGACUUUGUCCCAAGUGUCUGAGAGGGGGUAUUUUACUCAUGAACAAAGCUGGAACUUAAUCCCAAUAAGAGCCAAGACAGGAAUCUGUCAAUGAGUGUUCAGUGCCCCCAAAAAGCAGUAAAUUGGGACAACAGUUCAAUAGAAUUAUAAAUUUCUUGAAACAUUUCUAGUAAAAAGUUGCUAUAGCCAAUGU
Molecule: RNA transcript, 5219 nt
Organism: Canis lupus familiaris (dog)
Lineage: Eukaryota; Metazoa; Chordata; Mammalia; Carnivora; Canidae
Gene: KBTBD8
Gene name: kelch repeat and BTB domain containing 8
Exons: 8
Source: RefSeq, a predicted model, not a curated record